GACGAACGCUGGCGGCGUGCUUAACACAUGCAAGUCACGGGGGCCCGCAAGGGUAACCGGCGAACGGGUGCGUAACACGUGAGCAACCUGCCUAGAUGUGGGGGAUAGCCGGCCCAACGGCCGGGUAAUACCGCAUACGGUCACGAGGAGGAGUCUCCUUGUGAAGAAACCUCCGGGGCAUUUAGAGGGGCUCGCGGCCUAUCAGCUAGUUGGUGAGGUAAUGGCUCACCAAGGCUUCGACGGGUAGCUGGUCUGAGAGGAUGGCCAGCCACAUUGGGACUGAGAUACGGCCCAGACUCCUACGGGAGGCAGCAGUGGGGAAUCUUGCGCAAUGGCCGAAAGGCUGACGCAGCGACGCCGCGUGUGGGA
This 369-nucleotide ribosomal RNA is filed under the name uncultured bacterium. RNAcentral's name for it is "bacterial SSU rRNA". It matches the Rfam family "Bacterial small subunit ribosomal RNA", at positions 28 to 408 of the family's 1533-position model. The record is from RNAcentral.